AUAUUCUCAAAUGAUAUAAAGCUAUUUUUAAAUAGGCAAGUUUUUAAAUAGUGAAUGGCAAUGCCUCGUGACAUAGACGACAACUUAACGAACUCGGCUGUGCUUCUGCUUUGUGAUGAUGGAGACAUGGGAGAGGAACUGCAAUCUAGAUUUUUCUUCAAAUUUGCUUAAGCACGUUUGGAUAAAUAAAAGAAAAUUCACAUGAUUAAACUGAGAACAAUAUACUUUCGGUCGUUUCAGUGACAACAUGUAUAUUGCGGCCGAAACACGUAUGAAACGAGAUGGUGUGAAUCAGAGUAGCAGCGGUUUUUCACACGAUUUACUUUCUUUGUCUUGCGCUCAAUUAAACGUCAUCGUGUAGAAUGUUCGCUGUGGUGACGUCCCUUCUCGUUGCUAAAUUUAUGUCAUCAAAAUAUAAGACUUGCAUUAUUUCGUAAUCGAUGUUACAUCGUAUUUUCCUAUACACUUCUAUUCUUGGCUGCAUUUGUAUGAUCGUUUAUGUCAGACGCACCCGGUUUUUUAUGAGGUGUAUUUAAUUUACAGCCCUCUCUGGUGAAACAGAAACUUCUGCCGAUUUUUAUGUUCUCGUUGAACUGUUAUUUUUGUUUUAUGUCCUUCGUCAUCAACGUCUGAAAGUUUCUCUUAAUACUAUUAAUAUUUUGACGAGUAGUAAAUAAAUGGCCACAGGCUUCCA
Molecule: long non-coding RNA, 694 nt
Organism: Daphnia magna
Lineage: Eukaryota; Metazoa; Arthropoda; Branchiopoda; Diplostraca; Daphniidae
Exons: 2
Source: RefSeq, a predicted model, not a curated record